GUUAGCUAGUUGGUGGGGUAAAGGCCUACCAAGGCGACGAUCAGUAGCGGGUCUGAGAGGAUGAUCCGUCACACUGGAACUGAGACACGGUCCAGACUCCUACGGGAGGCAGCAGUGGGGAAUUUUGGACAAUGGGGGCAACCCUGAUCCAGCCAUUCCGCGUGAGUGAAGAAGGCCUUCGGGUUGUAAAGCUCUUUCAGUUGGAACGAAACGGUACGCUCUAACAUAGCGUGCUAAUGACGGUACCGACAGAAGAAGCACCGGCUAACUACGUGCCAGCAGCCGCGGUAAUACGUAGAGUGCGAGCGUUAAUCGGAAUUACUGGGCGUAAAGCGUGCGCAGGCGGAUUGUUAAGCAAGAUGUGAAAUCCCCGGGCUUAACCUGGGAAUGGCAUUUUGAACUGGCAGUCUAGAGUGUGUCAGAGGGGGGUGGAAUUCCACGUGUAGCAGUGAAAUGCGUAGAUAUGUGGAGGAACACCAAUGGCGAAGGCAGCCCCCUGGGAUAACACUGACGCUCAUGUACGAAAGCGUGGGUAGCAAACAGGAUUAGAUACCCUGGUAGUCCACGCCCUAAACGAUGUCAACUGUUGUUGGGGGAGUGAAAUCCCUUAGUAACGAAGCUAACGCGUGAAGUUGACCGCCUGGGGAGUACGGUCGCAAGAUUAGAACUCAAAGGAAUUGACGGGGACCCGCACAAGCGGUGGAUGAUGUGGAUUAAUUCGAUGCAACGCGAAAAACCUUACCUACCCUUGACAUGUCCAGAAUCCUGCAGAGAUGCGGGAGUGCCCGAAAGGGAAUUGGAACACAGGUGCUGCAUGGCUGUCGUCAGCUCGUGUCGUGAGAUGUUGGGUUAAGUCCCGCAACGAGCGCAACCCUUAUCAUUAGUUGCUACGCAAGGGCACUCUAAUGAGACUGCCGGUGACAAACCGGAGGAAGGUGGGGAUGACGUCAAGUCCUCAUGGCCCUUAUGGGUAGGGCUUCACACGUCAUACAAUGGUCGGUACAGAGGGUUGCCAAGCCGCGAGGUGGAGCCAAUCCCAGAAAGCCGAUCGUAGUCCGGAUUGUUCUCUGCAACUCGAGAGCAUGAAGUCGGAAUCGCUAGUAAUCGCGGAUCAGCAUGCCGCGGUGAAUACGUUCCCGGGUCUUGUACACACCGCCCGUCACACCAUGGGAGUGGAAUCUGCCAGAAGUAGGUAGCCUAACCGCAAGGAGGGCGCUUACCACGGUGGGUUUCAUGACUGGGGUGAAGUCGGAACAAGGUA
Molecule: ribosomal RNA, 1261 nt
Filed under: metagenome
Description: bacterial SSU rRNA
Rfam family: Bacterial small subunit ribosomal RNA
Source: RNAcentral